AUGGAGGAACAAUGGGGAAUGGAGGCCUCUUUCUGGGGGCUCGGGAGCGGUAACCCCUCCUCCUCUUCCUCUCCAACCCGCCAGGAUGAGGACGGAGGGACGUCCAUCCCAACCCCCACAACACCCACUGCCACCUCUCUGAAAUCCACCUCCCAGUUGCCUAAGGCCAGACUAGGGGCAUGGAGAGAGCUGAAGCAGGAGCUCAGAUCAGGAUCCAGGGUACUCACCCCAGCAGGAACCACCCCACCAAUAACCGUGGCUACUCCCGCGGGCUCCAACCCAGACUCCCCCUCCCACAGCCGGGCCUCGAUCUCGCGGGUUGAGGCUGAGCCUUCGUUCGGCACCUACACGCAUCUGACCAGGUCAGUGCUUGUCCCAAUGCACAGAAGGUCCUGGCCACGCCAGGCCUGGGAGUUGGGCCCCUCUGGCCAGGCAGGGCUGGGGGAGGGGCCUGCGACUCUCUCUAGCACCAAGGCUGUCGGUCGCCCCAAGAAACUGGGACCCGAGGGGCACCCCAACCUAGUGUCAUCCUCUAUUCAGGAGCCUUCCGACUGCGCGCAGGCAAAGCCCCAGGCUUCCUGCCUCCUGCGGGACCUCAACGCGGACCCCAGACCCCGCCGCAGCUCCAAAGUCGGAGAGAAGGCGGCCUCCGCGCCCCCUCCUCCAGUUCCAGCUCAGGAUCUCCUCGCCUCGGACACGGAAUGGCGGAGAGAGCCGCACCGCGGAUAUGCAUCGGCCAUGAGUCUAGACUUGAGGCUGACGAGGAUUCGGGAAGAGACCCCAUCCCCACGCCGCCCUCUCGUUCUGCGGUUUCCCAUGAGUGCGUGUUGCGAGGCGGGUGCGGGGUGGGGGGAGCCCGGGCAGAUCGAUUUAGGUUGAAGGGUGGGGCGCGGCGGCCGGAGAGCCUCACCUGAAAUUGGGCGGCGACGCGAUGUGCAGCCCCAGGAACGGGGGGGCGGCAGGCGGGGAGGCAGCCCCCCCGCCCA
Molecule: long non-coding RNA, 986 nt
Filed under: Ovis aries (sheep)
Lineage: Eukaryota; Metazoa; Chordata; Mammalia; Artiodactyla; Bovidae
Description: lncRNA (ENSOARG00000026843.1)
Source: RNAcentral